CAGCAGUCAAGAAUAUUAGUCAAUGCUCGCAAGAGUGAACUAGCUAACUGAAAUCCUUGGUGUGUCAUCGAGGAUAACGUAAGGGAAAAUAAUGAUACCACCUUACUAUUAGUGUCGUCCAAAUGCUCGUGCCAGAAGACUCGGUAAGGCGAGAGACGCAAACGUUAUUCGUCUUGAUCAGGCGUAAAGGGUUUGUAGGCGGCUUUAAGUAUCCAAUUUUAAGUUUACUAUUAUAAUGCUAUAAGUGUUAUAAUAUUUAUUAAAGGGUCAAUUAAAGCUAGAAUCUAACAGAGGUUAAAACAAUACUUAAGGUAGGUGUACUAACCAUAAAUAAUAAGCAGAGUGUUAAGGGCGAAGGCAUUUAUCCACUGAAGAUUGACGCUGAGAAACGAAGGUGAGGACAGAAAAAAGGAUUAGAGACCCUUGUAUCCCUCACUGUCAACGAUGAAUGGUAGUUACUAGGGAGAAAUAACCUAGAGACGAUGUUAACACGAAAACCAUUCCGCCUUGUGAGUACGACUGCAAAGUUGAAAACAAAAAAAUUAGUCGGUUUCGGAGCAAACGAAGUGAAGCAUGUUAUUUAAUUCGAUAAUCCGC
RNAcentral lists this ribosomal RNA (597 nucleotides) under Porodaedalea pini. RNAcentral's name for it is "SSU rRNA". It matches the Rfam family "Bacterial small subunit ribosomal RNA", at positions 349 to 962 of the family's 1533-position model. The record is from RNAcentral. Lineage: Eukaryota; Fungi; Basidiomycota; Agaricomycetes; Hymenochaetales; Hymenochaetaceae.